UCCUACGGGAGGCAGCAGUAGGGAAUCUUCCGCAAUGGACGAAAGUCUGACGGAGCAACGCCGCGUGAGUGAUGAAGGUUUUCGGAUCGUAAAACUCUGUUGUUAGGGAAGAACAAGUUGGGUAGUAACUGACCCAACCUUGACGGUACCUAACCAGAAGGCCACGGCUAACUACGUGCCAGCAGCCGCGGUAAUACGUAGGUGGCAAGCGUUGUCCGGAAUUAUUGGGCGUAAAGCGCUCGCAGGCGGUCUUUUAAGUCUGAUGUGAAAGCCCACGGCUUAACCGUGGAGGGUCAUUGGAAACUGGAGGACUUGAGUACAGAAGAGGAGAGUGGAAUUCCACGUGUAGCGGUGAAAUGCGUAGAGAUGUGGAGGAACACCAGUGGCGAAGGCGACUCUCUGGUCUGUAACUGACGCUGAGGAGCGAAAGCGUGGGUAGCGAACAGGAUUAGAUACCCUGGUAGUCCACGCCGUAAACGAUGAGUGCUAGGUGUUAGGGGGUUUCCGCCCCUUAGUGCUGAAGUUAACGCAUUAAGCACUCCGCCUGGGGAGUACGGCCGCAAGGCUGAAACUCAAAUGAAUUGACGGA
This 589-nucleotide ribosomal RNA is filed under the name uncultured bacterium. RNAcentral describes it as "bacterial SSU rRNA". It matches the Rfam family "Bacterial small subunit ribosomal RNA", at positions 337 to 917 of the family's 1533-position model. The record is from RNAcentral.